RNAcentral lists this ribosomal RNA (406 nucleotides) under uncultured bacterium. RNAcentral describes it as "bacterial SSU rRNA". It matches the Rfam family "Bacterial small subunit ribosomal RNA", at positions 355 to 776 of the family's 1533-position model. The record is from RNAcentral.
UGGGGAAUAUUGCGCAAUGGGCGAAAGCCUGACGCAGCCACGCCGCGUGGGUGAUGAAGGCCUUCGGGUUGUAAAGCCCUGUCGGGAGGGAAGAAGUUCUGACGGUACCUCCCAAGAAAGCACCGGCUAACUCCGUGCCAGCAGCCGCGGUAAUACGGAGGGUGCGAGCGUUGCUCGGAAUCACUGGGCGUAAAGCGUACGCAGGCUGUUUCGUAAGUCGGGUGUGAAAGCCCGGGGCUCAACCCCGGAAUUGCGCCCGAGACUGCGGAGCUUGAAUGCGGGAGAGGGAAGCGGAAUUCCUGGUGUAGAGGUGAAAUUCGUAGAUAUCAGGAGGAACACCGGUGGCGAAAGCGGCUUCCUGGCCCGACAUUGACGCUCAUGUACGAGAGCGUGGGGAGCAAACAGG